This 253-nucleotide ribosomal RNA is filed under the name uncultured bacterium. RNAcentral's name for it is "partial 16S ribosomal RNA". It matches the Rfam family "Bacterial small subunit ribosomal RNA", at positions 524 to 776 of the family's 1533-position model. The record is from RNAcentral.
GACAGAGGGGGCAAGCGUUGCUCGGAAUCACUGGGCGUAAAGCGCACGUAGGCGGGUCUUUAAGUCAGGGGUGAAAUCCUGGAGCUCAACUCCAGAACUGCCUUUGAUACUGAAGAUCUCGAGUCCGGAAGAGGUGAGUGGAACUCCGAGUGUAGAGGUGAAAUUCGUAGAUAUUCGGAAGAACACCAGUGGCGAAGGCGGCUCACUGGUCCGGUACUGACGCUGAGGUGCGAAAGCGUGGGGAGCAAACAGG